UUACGGCCACAUCACAUUGGAACACCGGUUCCCGUACGAUCCCCAAAGUUAAGCAACGUCGAGUUUUGUCAGUAUCUAGAUGGGUGAUCGCCUUGGAAUAACAGGUUCCGCAA
This is a non-coding RNA of Acanthosepion pharaonis, 113 nucleotides long. Lineage: Eukaryota; Metazoa; Mollusca; Cephalopoda; Sepiida; Sepiidae. The record is from the annotation of a GenBank genome assembly.